GACGAACUCUGGCGGCGUGCUUAACACAUGCAAGUCGAACGGAAAGGCCCUGCUUUUGUGGGGUGCUCGAGUGGCGAACGGGUGAGUAACACGUGAGUAACCUGCCCUUGACUUUGGGAUAACCUCAGGAAACUGGGGCUAAUACCGGAUAGGAGCUCCUGCUGCAUGGUGGGGGUUGGAAAGUUUCGGCGGUUGGGGAUGGACUCGCGGCUUAUCAGCUUGUUGGUGGGGUAGUGGCUUACCAAGGCUUUGACGGGUAGCCGGCCUGAGAGGGUGACCGGCCACAUUGGGACUGAGAUACGGCCCAGACUCCUACGGGAGGCAGCAGUGGGGAAUAUUGCACAAUGGGCGGAAGCCUGAUGCAGCAACGCCGCGUGCGGGAUGACGGCCUUCGGGUUGUAAACCGCUUUCGCCUGUGACGAAGCGUGAGUGACGGUAAUGGGUAAAGAAGCACCGGCUAACUACGUGCCAGCAGCCGCGGUGAUACGUAGGGUGCGAGCGUUGUCCGGAUUUAUUGGGCGUAAAGGGCUCGUAGGUGGUUGAUUGCGUCGGAAGUGUAAUCUUGGGGCUUAACCCUGAGCGUGCUUUCGAUACGGGUUGACUUGAGGAAGGUAGGGGAGAAUGGAAUUCCUGGUGGAGCGGUGGAAUGCGCAGAUAUCAGGAGGAACACCAGUGGCGAAGGCGGUUCUCUGGGCCUUUCCUGGCGCUGAGGAGCGAAAGCGUGGGGAGCGAACAGGCUUAGAUACCCUGGUAGUCCACGCUGUAAACGGUGGGUACUAGGUGUGGGGUCCAUUCCACGGGUUCCGUGCCGUAGCUAACGCUUUAAGUACCCCGCCUGGGGAGUACGGCCGCAAGGCUAAAACUCAAAGGAAUUGACGGGGCCCCGCACAAGCGGCGGAGCAUGCGGAUUAAUUCGAUGCAACGCGUAGAACCUUACCUGGGUUUGACAUGGAUCGGGAGUGCUCAGAGAUGGGUGUGCCUCUUUUGGGGUCGGUUCACAGGUGGUGCAUGGCUGUCGUCAGCUCGUGUCGUGAGAUGUUGGGUUAAGUCCCGCAACGAGCGCAACCCUUGUUCACUGUUGCCAGCACGUUAUGGUGGGGACUCAGUGGAGACCGCCGGGGUCAACUCGGAGGAAGGUGGGGAUGACGUCAAGUCAUCAUGCCCCUUAUGUCCAGGGCUUCACGCAUGCUACAAUGGCUGGUACAGAGAGUGGCGAGCCUGUGAGGGUGAGCGAAUCUCGGAAAGCCGGUCUCAGUUCGGAUUGGGGUCUGCAACUCGACCUCAUGAAGUCGGAGUCGCUAGUAAUCGCAGAUCAGCAACGCUGCGGUGAAUACGUUCCCGGGGCU
This 1346-nucleotide ribosomal RNA is filed under the name uncultured bacterium. RNAcentral describes it as "partial 16S ribosomal RNA". It matches the Rfam family "Bacterial small subunit ribosomal RNA", at positions 28 to 1381 of the family's 1533-position model. The record is from RNAcentral.